GUCGCGUGUGUGAAGAAGGCCUUAGGGUUGUAAAACACUUUCAAUAAAGAAAGAAGAAAUAAUUAAAUAAAAUUUUUUUAUUUUUGACGGUAUUUAUAAAAGAAGCACCGGCUAACUUCGUGCCAGCAGCCGCGGUAAUACGAGGGGUGCUAGCGUUAAUCAAAUUUACUGGGCGUAAAGGGUGUGUAGGUAGCUAAUUUAAAUUAAUUAUAAAAGCUAUUAAGAUAAACUUAAUAGAGUAAUUAAUAAUAAAUUUCUUGAGUAUAAAAGAAGUAAAUAGAAUUCUAAAAGUAGCAGUGAAAUGCUUAGAUAUUUAGAGGAAUACUAAUGGCGAAGGCAUUUUACUAUUUUAUACUGACACUAAUACACGAAAGCAUGGGGAGCAAACAGGAUUAGAUACCCUGGUAGUCUAUGCAGUAAACGAUGUCGACUAUUUAUUGAAUAACAUAUUAUUAUUAUUUAUAAAAAUUUUUAUGAAUUUAAAAUAAUAUGUAAAUUUAGUGAAAAAGCUAACGCGUUAAGUUGACCGCCUGGGGAUUACGACCGCAAG
This 550-nucleotide ribosomal RNA is filed under the name Candidatus Carsonella ruddii. RNAcentral's name for it is "bacterial SSU rRNA". It matches the Rfam family "Bacterial small subunit ribosomal RNA", at positions 396 to 892 of the family's 1533-position model. The record is from RNAcentral. Lineage: Bacteria; Pseudomonadati; Pseudomonadota; Gammaproteobacteria; Oceanospirillales; Halomonadaceae.